AUUUCUUGGGCCGCUUCCGCGGCACGUGGAAGUUUCCAGGCUAGGGGUCCAAUCGGAGCUGUAGCCACAGGCCCACGCCAGAACCACAGGAAUGCAGGAUCCGAGCCGAGUCUGCAACCUACACCACAGCUCACAGCAACGCCGGAUCGUUAACCCACUGAGCAAGGGCAGGGACCGAACCCGCAACCUCAUGGUUCCUAGUCGGAUUCGUUAACCACUGCACCACGACGGGAACUCCCUCUAUUUCAGCUUUAUUCAAGAGAGAGGAGAAUCCAUUCUGAGGACAUGAGUAUGCAUGAUUUCUAUGUGAACUCACAAAUUCCUCCUUCUUAGAGAAGACUGUAGGUUUUCUACUAUGUUGCCAUGUCUAAUACCAAGUAGAUACAAAUAGAAGGAUUCAUUACUCAACUGCCUCUCACUUUAAUAAAAAUGUCAGUUUUAAAAUUUGAGUGAAAGCAUGUACAUGUGCUAGUUUUAUAAAUAAAGAGUUAGGAGAAAGUCGAUCAAUGUUAGCGAUGUAUUUUCAGGGGGACCGUUAGGGUGUUUGCACUCCUCUCCCAAAUCUACUUCAUGGAUUCAGAAAUCAAAGGGUAUCAGAUGAAAAAGUUUCUUUGGUCUGAAUAUUCACCUGUUAGCACAGAUCUCAUCUAAAAAAAAAAAAAGUAUUUGUGCAGAUUCUUUCUCUCCUUCCUAUGCUUAUUUUUGAUGUAAAUGACUUGCUAACAUUGAGCUUCAUUAACUCUAAAACAUCUGAGCCUCACCUUUUUUUCUAUUUUCAAUGUUCAAAGAAGUGUUUCAAAAAUUAUGAAAAAUUAUUUCUAGUAAGACUAAAGUCACAGCAUGCAAGUGAUCUGGGGCCCAGGCAUCCAUAUUCUGUCAUCACAUAACUAACGAUAAACAUAUCACACAUUUUCUAUCUCUAUGAAGGAAGUAUUUUCCAACUCCAAAGUUUAGUAUGAUAAUAUCAUUCUGGUAUGACUUUUCUUUCCUUUUCACAGUUUUCUUAACUCUGCUUUUUCUAGACACCCCCAAGAAAUUUAUGGCAGCAACUAUUUAUUAAUGAUAGUCAUAGGUAGCAUUAAUUUUUGUAGCAUGGAGGGAAGAAUGGGUCAGUGUGGGUCUUGGGUGCCCCAGGUGAGUUAGAUGGUAGAGAUGUCAGGGAAAUUGGGAGAGCAUAACUGCAGAAUCUGGAAGAUGCUAAGACUGCUCUACCAGCCAAAAUGGUCAAUACUUGGUCUUCUCCUCUGUUUAACCCCCAUCUCCCAUUACCCCCUCCCCACACACAUGUGGGCCCAUAUGACUUCUCAAAGUCUCUGAUGACAUAACACCUUCUUUAAAAUUUUAGGGACCAGCUCUGGCUCCCUGUUGUCUGUUCAUCAAGCCUUCAUUCUUUGGACAAAUGUUCUAUGCCCUCCACGACCUUCUUUCUUCCAGCCUACAUCAUUUCCAAUUACUCUUCAAGAUGAACCAUCACCAUGAGCUAAACAGAGCUGCCACCGAUUUUGAGAGAUAAUGCCCUACUUGAGGUUCCAGAAAGCUGGGCACAAAGUAGCAGUUCACAACAAGAGAAAGAGGCCAAGGUGCAGGUACUGAAUUAGAUUAUACAUGAUCUCAAGAGGGCCUUUACAUGUUAGAGGCUUUAACACUAAUCUAAAAUAUAAUCUCAUCCUGGAUACUCUACAAUUGUGAAUGUCAUAGCAUGGACCGGUGGGUGUUUCAGGUAAGUCUGAAGAGCACUGCCACCUUCCGUUUUCAAUUACUGAAUGAAUGAAACAACAACAAUUUACUGAGUACCUGCAAUGUCUCAGGCUCUCAUCUAAGUAUCUGUAUUUUAGGUAUUUAAUACUUACAGUGAAUCAGUGAGACAAGGCAAUAAUUAUGCUCACAUUACAGAUAAGAAGUCUGAGUACCAAUGAGACUAAGUGACCUACCCAAGGGCAAACAGUUAGUAAGUGAACAGGGAUUCCAACUUAGAUUUUUUGACUUCUUUGAGAAGGUGGGCUUCCUGGAGGAGGUGGUUUGAUUUUUCCACUUGAAUGAAGAUCUUUUGAUGACUUAAGACUUCUGAAUAUUUGAUUAAUUUAUUAGUAUGCUACCCUUGUCAUUUGCAAACUGUAUAAAACUCAGUUAAUUUCAAUACUCCUGCACAGAUUCACCCCAUUUUUCCUUCUUCUGCACUGGUAAACUUCAAGAGGUCAGGGAAUAAAACUAUGUCUCUAACCAUUUUAUAUUCAAUGUCUAGCACAGUACCUUGCACAUGAAUGGGGAUCAAUGUCUCUGAAAUGAAUAAAUGAAAAGCAGGUCCUAGCUUCAGGUUUGCACCAAUGUUUCUGAGCAUCCUAGAGAAGCAGACAAGCCAACUCGCUCAGGAGCACUAAGCAAGUGAUUGCAAGAGCAAGAUGUUUCUGGAUACUUAUGCAUCUAGACCAGAACCAUGUGAUAAGUCUAGAUUAAAAUACAUCUGGAGAAGGCAGGUUUAGACCUCUGUCCUCAAAUGCUCAAAAUUGAUCUGAUUCCAUCUUCCAAUGCAUUUCUUAUGGACUACACCAAGACACUGAUGAUGUAAAUAAAACAUGCAGGUUUCUUGCAGAAACAUUACUCCACUAUCCUUCAUGCAAUAAUGCAGUACUUUGUAACAAGCUUUAUAAUGAGGCUAUGAAUUAAAGUGAUGCAUGGCUUUUCUGAGGUACAAUAUGCAUCACAACAGCCUGUAUUAACAAUUUAAAACCAUAUAAUGUGCUUUAUAAGCUAAUAAAGUAGCUGCUUCUAAAUGAUUUAUCAAAUAUGAAUAAUGCAGCCAGAAAUAACUUACAGGAACAGGGCCAGCCUCCUCCCUUCCUUUGCUAACUGGCUUCUUUCUAUCCACAGAUGAUACGAAAGACACAUACAGGCUGAGUUACUGAGUUCCGGCCACCAGUCUCCCGCUCUGCCAGGAAGCCUGCUUGAGUUCUCCCCAGAGAAUUAUCACCUCUUCCUGAUGGUCCAGCCACCCUCUCUGCUUCUUCCCACUUCUGCCUCUCUCUCUCCCUCUUUAGAGUCCCCUCUAAGCUUCUCCCAUUUUGGAGUCUUCCUCACCUCAUUCCCCCAUCUUUCCUGUACUAUUCAAGUUUCAAUACAGAGCAGUGCUAUACAGGAGAUCAAGCAGUCAUAGCUUCAAUGGUCAGAAGGAGAACUUGGAGGGCUUCUGGUUCAAAAAGAGGACAGUUACACAUGGCUUUUAGGCUUCUGAGGGAUAUCCACAUAAGAAUUUAAACUACCUAAACUUCUACAUACCAGCUAGAUUUCAUGCCUAGUACUUUACCUUCUGAACAUUGCCUUUGUGAAAUCUAACAGUAUCUGAAGACUCGGAACAUGCUGCAUCUCUGUUUGAGCUUUUUUUGGGGGCGGUUGAUUUCGGAAAUAAAUAUACAUGUAUAUAAAACCAAAAGCAUACAAGGAGACAUUUUCAAGAGAAUGUUGCUCCUACUUGAUGAUGAGAACCCACCAGCUCUUUAGAAACCUACCAGAUAGACAAAACAAGCUAAAUAAAUUUAAUUUCAAAUUGUCACAAGCUCUUGCCAGGAGGAAAAAAAAAAAAAAGAUUCAUGACUACUACAAUCCCUAGCAGAGAAGCACAGGUGAACAAACUCAGCAUAGGCUGAGAUACUGAAGAAACAGCUGACUUUCUACAAAUGCAUGAAAUGUAGGUGGAGGCUGACAAAAUGGAUUAGGAUUCUGGAGAGCCCUAGCCAAGACUGUGACUGAACCACCACAAAAACUCAUUCCCAUAACAAAUGCAAAGGAGUCAUGUGCAGAGGCUGCAGGCUGGGUAGAAAGCUGAGGAAAAUUCCUUUUUCACAAGUAUAUUACAGCUUUCCUCUGAAAGUUAGAAUGUAACUUGGGCAGCCAAGAGAAAAGAGAUCUCUACAGAAAUCAAGGGGUGGAAAAGCAAGGGGCAGAAAUGGGAAUAGACAACAAAGAGAAUUCCCAGCAACCCAGAAGCCUAUGCUCAUCUAUAAAGUAGGAAGAGGCCGCUCAGCAUUCAGAAAGCUGGAAGUUUGUCUGUAGUACACGAAGGGAACUCUGGAAGAGCCCUACUGUUCUUAUUCUCAGCUUUUCUAAAGGACAAGUUCUGAUAUGGUCCUCAAAAUUUUGAAAUUAGGGGUAAAUUAAAUCAAAUAAGCCUUUCAUAAUACCCAGACCCAGACCAUCAAAAAAUUAAAUUCAGUCAGACCCCUUCUCCCACUAUUAUCUUAACAGAAGAGGUGGCAUGACCCCUGCCCCCUGCUUUUGUAAUUAGACAUUGUUUAUGUCAGUGUAAACUUUACUCCCCUUUUACCCACAAUGCCUGGCAUUCAAUCAAAAGUUUUCAAGCCACAGGAUGAAGCGAGGGACUACAUCUCCUGCUCAAGAGAGAAAACACUCAAGAGAUGACACAGAUGAAAUGAAGAGACAGGGACAUUAAAAUAAUUUUGAUGAAGUGUCUACUUGUAGUCCAGGUGGAGUUACUUUUACCUUCCCCAGCCUUCCUGUCAUUACAGGAAAAAUUAAAAUUAGAUAAAAUGCAUGGUUAGAUGGUUUUUAGGCAGUAGAAAAUAGGUAGCGCAGAACUUAGACGCUAAUAGAAAGGAACUCAUGAGUGAAGUUCCUUGAUCAUUGACUUGACGAAAUUUUCCUUAUUGGGCAAAAAUUGAUGCAGCUCUGAGUAGAGCAGUAUGUCUUAUUGAAUUUAAGAAGAAAUCAGAAUUUGAAGCUGUUGAAAUGGGUCAAAUCUAUGGAAUAAGAUAUUCGGGGAGUGGAAACUGUGAAUAACUGAAUUUUGGGGCACAUAAUUCACUAUGGAUGUCCCCUGUGAAGCUGUGGUUGAGAAAUGGAAUUUAAGUGUUCAGGAAGAGACCAGCCAAGACUUCCUGGAGGGAGAGUAGCCUCUGUGGUUGAGAGUAGAACAGAGCUACUAGAGGUUGAACACUGCUGGGGGAAAAAUAAUGCUGAGGGGUACUGAAGCACUGGCUGGGC
Molecule: long non-coding RNA, 4995 nt
Filed under: Sus scrofa (pig)
Lineage: Eukaryota; Metazoa; Chordata; Mammalia; Artiodactyla; Suidae
Description: lncRNA (ENSSSCG00000055909.1)
Source: RNAcentral